UGCAAGUCGAACGGUAACAGGCCUUCGGGUGCUGACGAGUGGCGGACGGGUGAGUAACGCGUAGGAAUCUGCCUUAUAGUGGGGGACAACGUGGGGAAACCCACGCUAAUACCGCAUACGCCCUACGGGGGAAAGCGGGGGAUCUUCGGACCUCGCGCUAUGAGAUGAGCCUGCGUUAGAUUAGCUAGUUGGUAGGGUAAAGGCCUACCAAGGCGACGAUCUAUAGCUGGUCUGAGAGGACGAUCAGCCACACUGGGACUGAGACACGGCCCAGACUCCUACGGGAGGCAGCAGUGGGGAAUAUUGGACAAUGGGCGCAAGCCUGAUCCAGCAAUACCGCGUGUGUGAAGAAGGCCUUCGGGUUGUAAAGCACUUUCAAUUGGGAGGAAAACCUACCGGUCAAUACCCGGUAGCUUGACAUUACCUUUAGAAGAAGCACCGGCUAACUCCGUGCCAGCAGCCGCGGUAAUACGGAGGGUGCAAGCGUUAAUCGGAAUUACUGGGCGUAAAGCGUGCGUAGGCGGUUCGUUAAGUCAGAUGUGAAAGCCCCGGGCUCAACCUGGGAACUGCAUUUGAAACUGGCGAACUAGAGUUGAGUAGAGGGGAGUGGAAUUUCAGGUGUAGCGGUGAAAUGCGUAGAUAUCUGAAGGAACACCAGUGGCGAAGGCGACUCCCUGGACUCAAACUGACGCUGAGGUACGAAAGCGUGGGUAGCAAACAGGAUUAGAUACCCUGGUAGUCCACGCCGUAACGAUGUCAACUAGCCGUUGGUCCUAUUUACAGGAUUAGUGGCGCAGCUAACGCAUUAAGUUGACCGCCUGGGGAGUACGGCCGCAAGGUUAAAACUCAAAUGAAUUGACGGGGGCCCGCACAAGCGGUGGA
This 882-nucleotide ribosomal RNA is filed under the name uncultured Methylobacter sp. Its description in RNAcentral is "bacterial SSU rRNA". It matches the Rfam family "Bacterial small subunit ribosomal RNA", at positions 56 to 936 of the family's 1533-position model. Lineage: Bacteria; Pseudomonadati; Pseudomonadota; Gammaproteobacteria; Methylococcales; Methylococcaceae. The record is from RNAcentral.